This 498-nucleotide ribosomal RNA is filed under the name uncultured bacterium. Its description in RNAcentral is "partial 16S ribosomal RNA". It matches the Rfam family "Bacterial small subunit ribosomal RNA", at positions 28 to 506 of the family's 1533-position model. The record is from RNAcentral.
GACGAACGCUGGCGGCGUGCCUAAUACAUGCAAGUCGAGCGAAGUUUUUCUGGUGCUUGCACUAGAAAAACUUAGCGGCGAACGGGUGAGUAACACGUAAAGAACCUGCCUCAUAGACUGGGACAACUAUUGGAAACGAUAGCUAAUACCGGAUAACAGUAUUUCUCGCAUGAGAGAUAUUUAAAAGUUGGUUAUGCUAACACUAUGAGAUGGCUUUGCGGUGCAUUAGCUAGUUGGUGGGGUAAAGGCCCACCAAGGCGACGAUGCAUAGCCGACCUGAGAGGGUGAUCGGCCACACUGGGACUGAGACACGGCCCAGACUCCUACGGGAGGCAGCAGUAGGGAAUCUUCCGCAAUGGGCGAAAGCCUGACAGAGCAACGCCGCGUGAGUGAAGAAGGAUUUCGGUUCGUAAAGCUCUGUUGUUAGGGAAGAAUGGAUAUGUAGUAACUAUACAUGUAAGAGACGGUACCUAACCAGAAAGCCACGGCUAACUACGU